RNAcentral lists this ribosomal RNA (315 nucleotides) under uncultured Lactobacillus sp. Its description in RNAcentral is "bacterial SSU rRNA". It matches the Rfam family "Bacterial small subunit ribosomal RNA", at positions 373 to 687 of the family's 1533-position model. Lineage: Bacteria; Bacillati; Bacillota; Bacilli; Lactobacillales; Lactobacillaceae. The record is from RNAcentral.
GRGCGCUUGAWGGACACGCCGCGUGAUGAAGAAGGCCUUCGGGUCGUAAAAUUCUGUUGUCAGAGAAGAACGUGCGUGAGAGUAACUGUUCACGUAUUGACGGUAUCUGACCAGAAAGCCACGGCUAACUACGUGCCAGCAGCCGCGGUAAUACGUAGGUGGCRAGCGUUGUCCGGAUUUAUUGGGCGUAAAGGGAACGCAGGCGGUCUUUUAAGUCUGAUGUGAAAGCCUUCGGCUUAACCGAAGUAGUGCAUUGGAAACUGGAAGACUUGAGUGCAGAAGAGGAGAGUGGAACUCCAUGUGUAGCGGUGAAAU